This 458-nucleotide ribosomal RNA is filed under the name uncultured marine microorganism. Its description in RNAcentral is "bacterial SSU rRNA". It matches the Rfam family "Bacterial small subunit ribosomal RNA", at positions 356 to 829 of the family's 1533-position model. The record is from RNAcentral.
GGGGAAUUUUCCGCAAUGGGCGAAAGCCUGACGGAGCAAUACCGCGUGAGGGAGGAAUGCCUUUGGGUUGUAAACCUCUUUUCUCAGGGAAGAAGAUCUGACGGUACCUGAGGAAUAAGUAUCGGCUAACUCCGUGCCAGCAGCCGCGGUAAUACGGAGGAUGCAAGCGUUAUCCGGAAUCAUUGGGCGUAAAGCGUCCGCAGGUGGUUUUCAAAGUCUGCUGUUAAAGACUGGAGCUCAACACCGGAAAGGCGGUGGAACCUUGGAAACUAGAGUUCGGUAGGGGUAGCAGGAAUUCCCAGUGUAGCGGUGAAAUGCGUAGAUAUUGGGAAGAACAUCGGUGGCGAAGGCGUGCUACUGGACCGCAACUGACACUCAGGGACGAAAGCUAGGGGAGCGAAAGGGAUUAGAUACCCCUGUAGUCCUAGCUGUAAACGAUGGAAACUAGGUGUGGCUUG